Molecule: ribosomal RNA, 272 nt
Filed under: uncultured Staphylococcus sp.
Lineage: Bacteria; Bacillati; Bacillota; Bacilli; Caryophanales; Staphylococcaceae
Description: partial 16S ribosomal RNA
Rfam family: Bacterial small subunit ribosomal RNA
Source: RNAcentral
CGUUAGCGGCGGACGGGUGAGUAACACGUGGGUGACCUACCUAUAAGACUGGGAUAACUCCGGGAAACCGGGGCUAAUACCGGAUAACACAUGAAACCGCAUGGUUUCAUGAUGAAAGACGGUUUUGCUGUCACUUAUAGAUGGACCCGCGGCGUAUUAGCUAGUUGGUAAGGUAACGGCUUACCAAGGCAACGAUACGUAGCCGACCUGAGAGGGUGAUCGGCCACACUGGAACUGAGACACGGUCCAGACUCCUACGGGAGGCAGCAGGC